RNAcentral lists this ribosomal RNA (467 nucleotides) under uncultured bacterium. RNAcentral's name for it is "partial 16S ribosomal RNA". It matches the Rfam family "Bacterial small subunit ribosomal RNA", at positions 28 to 507 of the family's 1533-position model. The record is from RNAcentral.
GACGAACGCUGGCGGCGUGCUUAACACAUGCAAGUCGAACGGAAAGGCCCUGCUUUUGUGGGGUGCUCGAGUGGCGAACGGGUGAGUAACACGUGAGUAACCUGCCCUUGACUUUGGGAUAACUUCAGGAAACUGGGGCUAAUACAGGAUAGGAGCUCCUGCUGCAUGGUGGGGGUUGGAAAGUUUCGGCGGUUGGGGAUGGACUUGCGGCUUAGCAGCUGGAUGGUGGGGUUGUGGCUUACCAAGGCUUUGACGGUUAGCCGGCCUGGGAGGGUGACCGGCUCCAGUGUGCUAGGGGAGGGACCAGGAGGCAAUCGGGCGCAAUGGGCGGAAAAUUUAGCGAGAAGGGCGGAGGCAGGGAUCAGGAUCGCCGGAUCGGGAAUGACGCCUUCGGGUGGUAAACCGAUUUCGCCUGUGACGAGGCGUGAGUGACGGUAAUGGGUAAAGAAGCACCGGCUAACUACGUG